This 496-nucleotide ribosomal RNA is filed under the name uncultured bacterium. RNAcentral's name for it is "partial 16S ribosomal RNA". It matches the Rfam family "Bacterial small subunit ribosomal RNA", at positions 28 to 507 of the family's 1533-position model. The record is from RNAcentral.
GAUGAACGCUGGCGGCGUGCCUAAUACAUGCAAGUCGAGCGAACAGACGAGGAGCUUGCUCCUCUGACGUUAGCGGCGGACGGGUGAGUAACACGUGGAUAACCUACCUAUAAGACUGGGAUAACUUCGGGAAACCGGAGCUAUACCGGAUAAUAUAUUGAACCGCCUGGUUCAAUAGUGAAAGACGGUUUUGCUGUCACUUAUAGAUGGAUCCGCGCCGCAUUAGCUAGUUGGUAAGGUAACGGCUUACCAAGGCAACGAUGCGUAGCCGACCUGAGAGGGUGAUCGGCCACACUGGAACUGAGACACGGUCCAGACUCCUACGGGAGGCAGCAGUAGGGAAUCUGCCGCAAUGGGCGAAAGCCUGACGGAGCAACGCCGCGUGAGUGAUGAAGGUCUUCGGAUCGUAAAACUCUGUUAUUAGGGAAGAACAAAUGUGUAAGUAACUAUGCACGUCUUGACGGUACCUAAUCAGAAAGCCACGGCUAACUACGUG